RNAcentral lists this ribosomal RNA (432 nucleotides) under uncultured bacterium. Its description in RNAcentral is "partial 16S ribosomal RNA". It matches the Rfam family "Bacterial small subunit ribosomal RNA", at positions 29 to 506 of the family's 1533-position model. The record is from RNAcentral.
AACGAGCGCUGGCGGCAUGCCUAACACAUGCAAGUCGAACGAGACCUUCGGGUCUAGUGGCGCACGGGUGCGUAACGCGUGGGAACCUGCCCUUAGGUUCGGAAUAACUCCCCGAAAGGGGUGCUAAUACCGGAUAAUGUCUUCGGACCAAAGAUUUAUCGCCUUUGGAUGGGCCCGCGUUGGAUUAGCUAGUUGGUAGGGUAAAAGCCUACCAAGGCGACGAUCCAUAGCUGGUCUGAGAGGAUGAUCAGCCACACUGGGACUGAGACACGGCCCAGACUCCUACGGGAGGCAGCAGUGGGGAAUAUUGGACAAUGGGCGAAAGCCUGAUCCAGCAAUGCCGCGUGAGUGAUGAAGGCCUUAGGGUUGUAAAGCUCUUUUACCCGGGAUGAUAAUGACAGUACCGGGAGAAUAAGCUCCGGCUAACUCCGU